AGCAGCCGCGGUAAUUCCAGCUCCAAUAGCGUAUAUUAAAGUUGUUGCAGUUAAAGAGCUCGUAGUUGAAUUUCGGGAUCAGUACGCUGGUCAUGCCUUUGGUAUGCACUGGUGUCACUGGUUUCUCCCUUCUGAAGAUCCGUGAUGUCAUUAAUUUGGUGUCGCGGGGAAUCAGGACUGUUACUUUGAAAAAAUUAGAGUGUUUAAAGCAGGCUCACGCUUGAAUACAUUAGCAUGGAAUAAUGAAAUAGGACGUUUGACCCUAUUUUGUUGGUUUCUAGGAUCGACGUAAUGAUUAAUAGGGAUAGUUGGGGGCAUUAGUAUUCAAUUGUCAGAGGUGAAAUUCUUGGAUUUAUUGAAGACUAACUACUGCGAAAGCAUUUGCCAAGGAUGUUUUCAUUAAUCAAGAACGAAAGUUAGGGGAUCGAAGACGAUCAGAUACCGUCGUAGUCUUAACCAUAAACUAUGCCGACUAGGGAUCGGAUGAUGUUAAUUUUAUAAUGACUA
RNAcentral lists this ribosomal RNA (507 nucleotides) under uncultured Glomus. RNAcentral's name for it is "SSU rRNA". It matches the Rfam family "Eukaryotic small subunit ribosomal RNA", at positions 569 to 1077 of the family's 1831-position model. The record is from RNAcentral. Lineage: Eukaryota; Fungi; Glomeromycota; Glomeromycetes; Glomerales; Glomeraceae.